GAUGAACGCUCGCGGCAGGCCUAAUACAUGCAAGUCGAACGGGAUUGCGGUAGUAGCUUGCUACUACUGCAUGAGAGUGGCGCACGGGUGCGUAACGCGUGAGCAACCUACCCAUAUCAGGGGGAUAGCCCGGCGAAAGUCGGAUUAACACCGCAUAACAUCAACAGUUCGCAUGUUCAGUUGAUUAAAUAUUUAUAGGAUAUGGAUGGGCUCGCGUGACAUUAGCUAGUUGGUAGGGUAACGGCUUACCAAGGCAACGAUGUCUAGGGGCUCUGAGAGGAGAAUCCCCCACACUGGUACUGAGACACGGACCAGACUCCUACGGGAGGCAGCAGUAAGGAAUAGUGGUCAAUGGGCGCAAGCCUGAACCAGCCAUGCCGCGUGCAGGAGGACUGCCCUAUGGGUUGUAAACUGCUUUUAUCAGGGAAUAAACCCCUUUACGAGUAGAGGGUUGAAUGUACCUGAAGAAUAAGGAUCGGCUAACUCCGUG
This 490-nucleotide ribosomal RNA is filed under the name uncultured bacterium. Its description in RNAcentral is "partial 16S ribosomal RNA". It matches the Rfam family "Bacterial small subunit ribosomal RNA", at positions 28 to 507 of the family's 1533-position model. The record is from RNAcentral.